GCUCAUGCUGUUCUCUCUGGUUAUAAAUCCCUCCCUGUCUCCUCCUCUUAUCUCACUCAAAACCCAGCUGAGAUUUCAGCAUUUCCAUGCAGACUCCUCCCUUAUACCUGUUCUUCUUUCCGCACUUGGGACUCUGCCAGCACUUGGCAUUUAAUCAGCCACAGUGGAUUUAAGUGUUUCACUUGUGAGUGGCUUAUCUCCCACAUUACACUAGAUAUUCCUUGAGGGCACUGACCAGCCUCCUGCAUCCGUCCGUCAGCUUGGCCCAGCCACAGCUCUGUCUCUUCUUGGUGAGUGGCUCUGGGCACUUGCCCCUUCCCAUCACUGUGCCUAAUCCCUCUCCUGUACACGGUGGGGACCACUGGAGGAGCUCUGGAGACUCCCUCUUGUGAACAUUAGGACUCCAAAAUGGUCCCCAGCUUGCUUCAGAGAGCUCACAGCCAAGAUGACAAGUGAGACCAUCAACCAUCAGUCCACUACCACCCUCAUAUCAUUGUUUUAUAUGUAUGAGAACCACCAUCAUCAUGGCAGUUACCUCCAAUUCAGCACCUUUUACAGAUCAUCACCAGGUAAUUCUACAUGCACUACCUCAUUUAUUCCUCAAAACAUCCUGAAGAAGGGGAAUUAUCCUUCACUGAUAUUCUCCAAGUGCCUGGGGCAGUGUGUGGCACAUUACAGAGGGUAACUAAAUUUUAAUUGAAUGACUUUGUUACAGGCAGUUAGACAGGCACAAGCCGCGCAGGAGAGGGCUCUCCCACCAUCCACUAGGAAUGUUGGGUGAUGGUUUGGUAAUGAUCACAUUCCCUCUCUAAAAUUUAUAAACUCGCAGCCAACACCAGAGACAGAGAUCAUUUCCUGAUGAUCCACACCUUUUGCACCAAAGUGUUAAUUGAAUGCAGGUGCCGGGGGAGACUGAGGCAGAAGAAUCGCUUGAACCCAGAAGGUGGAGGUUGCAGUGAGCAGAGAUCGCGCCACUGCCCUCCAACCAGGGUGACAGAGCGAGACUCCGUCUCAAAAAAAAGAAAAAAAGAAAAGAAAGAAAGAAAAGAAAAGAGACAAAAUGGCAGAGUCUGACCUUCGGACCUUCGGGGCACUCUGCUGGAAAAGCGAUGAUGGGCAUGUGCACCACUUCCUAAACACAUUGCGCAUGCUCACCUCCGGAGGGUAAGGAAGGCGCGGUGGGUGCGGGCAGCCCACCCCAAGGGAAGAAUCAUGGGAAAAGGGCCAGCCUAUAAAGUCCUAGGAUCAUCGCACUUGUCCUCGGUGCCCACUUGGGUCUCUUCCAAGUGUACUUUCCUUUCCUUUCUUUCCUGUUCUAAAGCAUUUAAAGAAACUUUUACUCCUGCUCUGAAACUUGCCUUGGGCUCCUUUUCUGCCUUAUGCCCCUCUGUCAAAUUCUUUCUCCUGAAGAGGCAAGAAUUGAGGUUGUUGCAGACCCAUACGGAUUCACCACCCGGUACCUUCCAUGGGAUACUUUACGCUGGUAACAUGUUCCCAUUUCACAAAUAAGGUUCAUGGAGGUUUGCCCAAAUGCAUGGGAAAUGUGAGGCUGGGACCCAAGGUGUGAGUGCAUUUUGCUCCUUCAAGUUACUGGUAACUUGGUUGGUAAAAGAAAUACUAAUUCUUUGCUUUCCUCAUUUACCCUCACUCCCUUCCCUAAGUUACUAUGUUCCCGGUUUUGCUUCCAGCAGCUUCUCACUCAGCUGCCAUGCAUUGACUUCCCUGUUGAUCCAGCCUACUGCGGACCCAAAUAUUCCUGUUGCCAGAUAGGAGGGAUGAGUAAUGGAGACUCCAGUCCUCAGAGACCUUGAUCAAGUAAAGCAAAAACCCCUUCCUCCACUUUCUUUGCAAGUGGCUAAACCCUUAGUCACUCUGGGAAGAAAAGUAAACUGAAAACUUGAAAAAGUCCCAAGACAGAAUCUAACUCCAUCCCCUGCCCCAGAUAAAAAGCAAGAUAGCACAACUAUAGCAACCUUUUAAGUCAAAUUAAAUGAGCUAAUAAAAAUCAGGCCUGUUCAAGUGCCCAAUUGAUUUAAACAUGAAGAUUGUCAGUUUCCAGCAUCACUGAUUCUAAUCCAACAACCCUCACCAUAGAGGUCUUCAUUCAGCCUGCUGUGUUUGGAGGUUUUGCUUAUUGGGUGUGUAUCUGUAAGGUAAAUCUUGACGAUUUCCUUACUACAGACAAUUAUCUGGCUGGAGAUGUC
RNAcentral lists this long non-coding RNA (2204 nucleotides) under Homo sapiens (human). RNAcentral describes it as "HSALNT0069573". The record is from RNAcentral. Lineage: Eukaryota; Metazoa; Chordata; Mammalia; Primates; Hominidae.